GCCUUCUUAGCUCAGUGGUAGAGCGUUGCACUUGUACACACGUGACAUAUGCAAAGGUCAGUCGUUCAAUCCGGCUAGGAGGCA
This 84-nucleotide transfer RNA is filed under the name Lentinula raphanica. Its description in RNAcentral is "tRNA-Thr". It matches the Rfam family "tRNA". From Rfam's summary of the family: Transfer RNA (tRNA) molecules are approximately 80 nucleotides in length. Lineage: Eukaryota; Fungi; Basidiomycota; Agaricomycetes; Agaricales; Omphalotaceae. The record is from RNAcentral.